Molecule: unclassified non-coding RNA, 263 nt
Filed under: Orbilia sp.
Lineage: Eukaryota; Fungi; Ascomycota; Orbiliomycetes; Orbiliales; Orbiliaceae
Description: partial internal transcribed spacer region
Rfam family: Eukaryotic small subunit ribosomal RNA (bases 1-46)
Source: RNAcentral
AAGUCGUAACAAGGUUUCCGUAGGUGAACCUGCGGAAGGAUCAUUAACAAUCCUAACCGAUUCUUUGUUCCGGUUCGCCGGUCAGAGUCUUAAACCCUUUGUGAAAACAAAAAUCUUUUGCUUCGGCAGCCGGUCGGGCCUUCCUAACCGAUUCUCGACCGUCAGCCUGCCGGCGGCUCCAACCAAACUUGUUAUUUCUGUACAGUCUGAAAAACAUUUUUUGAAUGAAAUCAAAACUUUCAACAACGGAUCUCUUGGUUCUC